CAGAGGUCCCAAGCGUUGUUCGGAUUCACUGGGCGUAAAGGGUGCGCAGGUGGGUUUGCAAGUUCGAUGUGAAAGCCCCGGGCUUAACCCGGGAAUGGCAUUGGAUACUGCAGAUCUGGAGGAUCGGAGGGGGGACUGGAAUUCUUGGUGUAGCAGUGAAAUGCGUAGAUAUCAAGAGGAACACCAGUGGCGAAGGCGAGUCCCUGGACGAUACCUGACACUGAGGCACGAAAGCUAGGGGAGCAAACAGGAUUAGAUACCCUGGUAGUCCUAGCUGUAAACGAUGAAUACUUGGUGUCUGGAGUUUUAAUUCUCCGGGUGCCGUCGCUAACGUUUUUAGUAUUCCGCCUGGGGAGUACGCACGCAAGUGUG
RNAcentral lists this ribosomal RNA (372 nucleotides) under uncultured organism. RNAcentral describes it as "bacterial SSU rRNA". It matches the Rfam family "Bacterial small subunit ribosomal RNA", at positions 526 to 896 of the family's 1533-position model. The record is from RNAcentral.